Molecule: non-coding RNA, 24 nt
Filed under: Arabidopsis thaliana (thale cress)
Lineage: Eukaryota; Viridiplantae; Streptophyta; Magnoliopsida; Brassicales; Brassicaceae
Source: RNAcentral
CGAGGGCACGUCUGCCUGGGUGUC